CACGUAGUUAGCCGUGGCUUAUUCCUGAGGUACCGUCACUUUCUUCGUCCCUCAGAAAAGAAGUUUACAACCCGAAAGCCUUCUUCCUUCACGCGGCGUUGCUGGGUCAGGCUUGCGCCCAUUGCCCAAUAUUCCCCACUGCUGCCUCCCGUAGGAGUCUGGGCCGUGUCUCAGUCCCAAUGUGGCCGGCCAACCUCUCAGUCCGGCUACUGAUCGUCGCCUUGGUGGGCCUUUACCCCGCCAACAAGCUAAUCAGACGCGAGCUCAUCUCAGAGCGAUAAAUCUUUGGCGUCCAGAGAGAUGCCUCCCAGACGCAUCAUGCGGUAUUAGCGGCUGUUUCCAACCGUUAUUCCCCACUCCAAGGCAGAUUGCUCACGCGUUACUCACCCGUCCGCCACUUUCCUCCAGAUCCGUUGUCCGAAAACUCCUUCACUGGAUUCUCGUUCGACUUGCAUGUGUUAAGCACGCCGCCAGCGUUCAUCCUGAGCCAGGAUCAAACU
This 500-nucleotide ribosomal RNA is filed under the name uncultured Oscillospiraceae bacterium. Its description in RNAcentral is "partial 16S ribosomal RNA". The record is from RNAcentral. Lineage: Bacteria; Bacillati; Bacillota; Clostridia; Eubacteriales; Oscillospiraceae.